GGGAUAGAAUUCCAGGAGUAGCGGUGAAAUGCGUAGAUAUCUGGAGGAAUACCAAAGGCGAAGGCAGUCCCCUGGUCCGAUACUGACACUGAGGUACGAAAGCGUGGGGAGCAAACAGGAUUAGAUACCCUGGUAGUCCACGCCCUAAACGAUGUCGAUUAGCCAUUGGAAGGACCCCUUUUCCUUUCAGUGACGUAGCUAACGCGUUAAAUCGACCGCCUGGGAAGUACGACCGCAAGGUUAAAACUCAAAGGAAUUGACGGGGACCUGAACAAGCGGUGAAUGAUGUGGAUUAAUUCGAUGCUACGCGAAGAACCUUACCUACCUUUGACAUGGCCAAAGUUCUACCGAGAGGCGGAAGUACUCGUAAGAGGAUUGGCGCACAGGUGCUGCAUGGUUGUCGUCAGUUCGUGUCGUGAGAUGUUGGGUUCAGUCCCGCAACGAACGCAACCCUUAUCUUUAAUUGCUCCUAUUUUAACAGGCACUUUAAAGAAACUGCCAAUGAUAAGUUGGAGGAAGGUGGGGAUCACGUCAAGUCCGCAUGGCCUUUAUAGGUAGGGCUUCACACGUCAUACAAUGGUUAGAACAAAGAGCUGCAAAUUCGUAAGAAGGAGCCAAUCUCACAAACCUAACCUCAGUUCGAAUUGCGGUCUGCAACUCGAGCGCAUGAAGCCGGAAUCGCUAGUAAUCGUGGAUCGGAAUGCCACGGUGAAUACGUUCUUAGGUCUU
Molecule: ribosomal RNA, 729 nt
Filed under: Candidatus Tremblayella phenacoccinincola
Lineage: Bacteria; Pseudomonadati; Pseudomonadota; Betaproteobacteria
Description: bacterial SSU rRNA
Rfam family: Bacterial small subunit ribosomal RNA
Source: RNAcentral